GGCCAAAUAAAACCAGAGUUAUGAUAAAUUAUGUCCGCGAUACUUGUUUUCUGCUUAUUUUGAUCACGUUCGGCGCUCGAUCGCGCUGUAUGAGACAGGAAAACAUAGCAUGCAGACAUUAGCGACAGGUCUUACAGGCGGAAAAGGCUUGCCAAAGGAAAAAAAAAAACACACCACAACAUCUCUCCUAUUGGUGGAAAACUUCACCACAACAACCAAUCCAAAAUUAUAUGGUGACUGAUUGACAAGGGGCGGGCGCUUACGUUCUUCCUGCAAUAUGAGAAGGGAGGGAGGGACUCUCAGCAGGGAUGCAGUCUGGGACACGUAGUUGCAAACCUAGCGACUUUGUUGUUAGAUUCAAUGACUUUUCAGACCCCCUAACGACUUUUUUUUUAGAAAGAAAGUGACUUUUAUCGACUUCUUCUGGAGUUUAGAGACUCUGACAUGAAGCAGGCUUUCCUUACUGAGGAGUUAGCAACGCUGCUAAGGGUGCAGAGCCACACAUGCGCUCCGAGCUCUGCAUGGGAGACUGAAGCUGACAGAGCUGCAGCAGUUAGCAGGUUUCACCCUCAGAGACCACCAGGGGUUCAUGUUGAGGCAUUUUCAGUUUUUUUUUUUUUUUUGCCAUAGACACUGUCAGCACAAUCUGCAGUUACACUAACAAAAAUGCUGCAAAAAACAAAGAAUUAUGGAAAAAUUACACAUGGACUAACAUAGAGGAGGAUCUACACAAGUUUUUUACAUCAUGUUUUACAUCAUGCAUCAUUUACAUCAUGUUUUUUUGUAGUGGCAUAAAUAAAAAGUGACAUUUGUGAGACUAUACAGUGUUUUGUAAAUAAUUUUACAAAGAACACCUGGGCCAUUGCCUGCAUUUUGAUGUAAAUAGAGGUAAAUUAUUAUGUUCUUUGUUAAAAAUUUGCAUAUGUUUUGAAGUUUACAAUUUUUAUUUGAAGUUUAAGUUUUAAAAACAGUUCAUCACACAUAUUUGUGGUUUAAUUUCACAUUAAUUUCCAUAUUGUAUAAAUGACUGGAAAAAACUUGAGCCCCUGCCCCUGUAUAAUCGUGUGCACGUCCCUGUUCUAGCUCCAAGGUGAAUCUUCACUGCUCAUGUUCUCCUCAGAAAUAGUCACCUCACUCCCCUCAGGUUACUGUACACAUGCACCAACUAUCUGCUUCAGGUUUGAAAUGGAGCUUCAUGGUUGUCUUUUGGAGAAAUGAACAGUCAAGUUGUGUUUGAAAUUUGAUUUUUUUCAGGGGCAAAAGGAAGCCUCUGCAUUCUUGUCAAAUAUGUAAACAGCAUGUUUUUGCAGGUGCUAAAAACCAGACUCUGAGUGUGUGUGUGUGUGUCUGUGUGUGUGUGUGUGUGUGUGUGUGUGUGUGUGUGUAUGUUGGCGUGUGUGUAUAUGUGUGUGUAUCCUGCAGUACUCUAUACUCCUGCAGUGGCCAAAAAGACUUUUAAGAAUGUGGAUUUUUGGGUCAUCUUUGGCGCCCCCUAGAACUGCAGUACUCUGUACUCCUGCAGUGGCCAAAAUGACUUUUAAGAAUGUGGAUUUUUGGGUCAUCUUUGGCGCCCCCUAGAACGUAAACCGUGGGGUGCAGCAUCAUGAUUUUUACAACUUUGAAUGGGCAUGGGGUGUAGAUUGGCCUGAGCAAAUUUGGUAUCGUUGGGACGAAAGCCUUAGGAGGAGAUAGCCACAUUCCAAUGUGUGCGAAUCGGCAAAAAAUGCAAAAUAGCCCUUUAACCGUACAUUAUACAGAUACGCGCUCUUUGACUUUUUCGUAGAUCUAAUUGAGAUACACAUGAUUGUCAAUUUUUGUGUCAAUAUGACAAAGCGUUCAGGCGUGACACUCAACAAUGUGUAUUUUUAUGUAAGGGGACAAGAAAAAAUUGACUUUUUUCUCCUACCAUGGGGGGGCGCUCUUUUGGGGAUUAAAAAUUCCUUCACAAAUGUGUUGAUGGCUGGACAUUGCAUCAUCCUAGAAAACUUGGAGGCCAGUGAGGACAAAAAUAAAAAGUUAUAAAACAUUUAAGAAUGUGGAUUUUUGGGUUAUUUUUGGCGCCCCCUAGAACCUAAACCAUGGGGUGCAGCAUCAUGAUUUGAAUAACUUUUAAUGGCCAUGGGGUGUAGAUUGGCCUGAGCAAAUGUGGUGCCGGUGGAACGAAAGCCUUCGGAGGAGUUAGCGAAAUUCCAAUGUGUGCGUAUCGGCAAAAAAUGCGGAAUAACCCUUUAACUGUACAUUUGACAGAUACGCGCGCAUGGACUUUUUUGUAGAUCUUAUUGAGUUACAUGUGUGUGUCAAUUUUUGUGUCAUUUUGACAAAGCGUAUAGGCGUGACACUCAACAAUGUGUAUUUUCACCUUAGGGGACAAGAAAAAAUGGACUUUUUUCUCCUGCCAUGGGGGGGCGCUCUUUUGGGGAGUAAAAAUUCCUUCACAAAUGUGUUGAUGGCUGGACAUUGCAUCAUCCUAGAAAACUUGGAGGCCAGUGAGGACAAAAAUAAAAAGUUAUAAGACUUUUAAAUAUGUGGAUUUUAGUGUUAUCUUUGGCGCCCCCUAGAACCUAAACCUUGGGGUGCAGCGUCAUGAUUUUGAUAACUUUUAAUGGCCACGGGGUGUAGAUUGGCCUGAGCAAAUGUGGUGCCGGUGGAACGAAAGCCUUCGGAGGAGUUAGCGAAAUUCCAAUGUGUGCGUAUCGGCAAAAAAUGCGAAAUAACCCUUUAACCGUAAUUUUGACAGAUACGGCCGCGCUGACUUUUUUGUAGAUCUUAUUGAGAUACAUAUGUGUGUCAAUUUUUGUGUCAAUAUGACAAAGCGUACAGGCGUGACAGUCAAUAGUGUGAAUUUCCACCUUAGGGGGCGCUAUGGAGCCAUUUUGCAUUUUAUUGUUUGGGCGACUUCAGAAUAUCGAAUUUUUCACCAGGCCCGGUCGUCCUGCCAAAUUUCAUGAGUUUUCGCCAGUGGGAAGUGGGCCAUUUUCCAGUUCAAAGGGGAGGAAAAAGAAGAAAGAAAGAAAGAAAGAAAGAAAGAAACAAAGAAAAACCACUUGGGGAAUAAUAGGGCCUACGCCCGGCUGCUCUGCAGCUGGCUCGGGCCCUAACUAGGGCCCCGGUGGGGCACUGUCGGGCCCGAGCCGCGUUGCGCCGCCCCCAGCGCGACCGCCUCCCCCUCCCGAUCGCGUCACACUCAAGGUCCAAAGAUGGUGUGCGCACUUGUCUGUGGUCAUUUCCCAUUAUAAUGAAUGGGAGGCGCAGUUUCUACCAAAACACUCGCUGCAGACAAACUACAUGUCCUAUUUGAAAAAAGUCUGAUCCAUGAGUGAGGGCACAAACACAGCUAGGAUAUAUCCAAAUGGCAAGUUGCUCCUCCUUUCGGAGGAGUUUGAACACAUGACAUGUGUUUGAGCCAUUGAGCGAUGGGCAGGAAAAACUUGACUUUUUCUCCUGCCAUGGGGGGGGGGGCGCUGUUUUGGGGAGUAAAAAUUCCUUCACAAAUGUGUUGAUGGCUAGACAUUGCAUCAUCCUAGAAAACUUGGAAGCCAGUGAGGACAAAAAUGAAAAGUUAUAAGACUUUUAAGAAUGUGGAUUUUUGGGUUAUCUUUGGCGCCCCCUAGAACGUAAACCGUGGGGUGCAGCGUCAUGAUUUGUACAACUUUUAAUGGCCAUCGGGUGUAGAUUGGCCUGAGCAAAUGUGGUGCCGGUGGAACGAAAGCUUUAGGAGGAGUUAGCCACAUUCCAAUGUGUGCGAAUCGAUCAAAAAUGCGUAAUAGCCCUUUAACCGUACAUUUUACAGAUACGUGCGCAUUGACUUUUUCGUAGAUCUUAUUGAGAUACACGUGAUUGUCAAAUUUUGUUUCAAUAUGACAAAGCGUACAGGCGUGACACUCAACAAUGUGUAUUUUCACCUUAUGGGACAAGAAAAAAUGGACUUUUUUCUCCUGCCAUGGGGGGGCGCUCUUUUGGGAAGUAAAAAUUCCUUCACAAAUGUGUUGAUGGCUGGACAUUGCAUCAUCCUAGAAAACUUGGAGGCCAGUGAGGACAAAAAUAAAAAGUUAUAAGACUUUUAAGACUGUGGAUUUUUGGGUUAUCUUUGGCGCCCCCUAGAACGUAAACCGUGGGGUGCAGCGUCAUGAUUUGUACAACUUUUAAUGGCCAUGGGGUGUAGAUUGGCCUGAGCAAAUUUGGUGCCAGUGGAACGAAAGCCUUCGGAGGAGUUAGCGAAAUUCCAAUGUGUGCGGUUCCGCAAAAAAUGCGAAAUAGCCCUUUAACUGUACAUUUGACAGAUACGUGCGCAUAGACUUUUUUGUAGAUCUUAUUGAGAUACACGUGUGUGUCAAAUUUUAUGUCAAUAUGACAAAGCGUAUAGGCGUGACACUCAACAAUAUGUAUUUUCACCUUAGGGGACAAGAAAAAAUGGACUUUUUUCUCCUGCCAUGGUGGGGCGCUCUUUUGGGGAGAAAAAAUUCCUUCACAAAUGUGUUGAUGGCUGGUCAUUGCAUCAUCCUAGAAAACUUGGAGGCCAGUGAGGACAAAAAUAAAAAGUUAUUAGACUUUUAAGAAUGUGGAUUUUUGGGUUAUCUUUGGCGCCCCCUAGAACGUAAACCGUGAGGUGCAGCGUCAUGAUUUGUACAACUUUUAAUGGCCAUGGGUUGUAGAUUGGCCUGAGCAAAUGUGGUGCCGGUGGAACGAAAGCCUUCGGAGGAGUUAGCGAAAUUCCACUGUGUGCGGAUCGGCAAAAAAUGCGAAAUAGCCCUUUAACCGUACAUUUGACAGAUACGCCCGCGCUGACUUUUUUGUAGAUCUUAUUGAGAUACACGUGUGUGUCAAAUUUUGUGUCAUUUUGACAAAGCGUACAGGUGUGACACUCAAUCAUGUGAAUUUUUCACCUUAGGGGGCGCUAUGGAGCCAUUUUGCAUUUGAUUGUUUGGGCGACUUCAGAAUAUCGAAUUUUUCACCAGGCCCGGUCGUCCUGCCAAAUUUCAUGAGUUUUCACCAGUGGGAAGUGGGCCAUUUUCCAGUUCGAAGGGGCAGAAAAAUAAUAACUAGGACCCCGUUGGGGCACUGGCGGGCCCGAGCUGUGUCGCGCCCCCCCCCCAACGCGCUGCCUCCCCGUCCCAUUUGUGUCCUCUGGCCAUCGCCCUCUCUGGUAACGCCCAUCACUGCAAAGACCCUUUUCCUUCAUCGGCGUUUGCUGUUCUUCCUGCCAGUGCGUGUUGCUUUCACUUACACUUGCCACAGCCAGCCUCGUGAGUGCCUAGCCUAUUGGAUAUCACUGUCACCUACACAGGACAGUCAUUACCUUUCUAUUAAUACUUUGUUUUUUAAUUUCACAUUAAUUUCCAUAUUGUAUAAACAACUGGAAAAAACUUGAGCCCCUGCCCCUGUAUAAUCAUGUGCACGUCUCUGUUCUAGCUCUAAGGUGAAUCUUCACUGCUCAUGUUCUCCUCAGAAGCAGUCACCUCACUCCCCUCAGGUUACUGUACACAUGCACCAACUGCCUGCUUCAGGUUUGGAUGGAGCUUCAUGGUUGUCUUUUGGAGAAAUGACCAGUCAAGUUGUGUUUGAAAUUUGAUUUUUUUCAGGGGCAAAAGGAGCCUCUGCAUUCUUGUCAAAUAUGUAAAUAGCAUGUUUUUGCAGGUGCUAAAAACCAGACUCUGAGUGUGUGUGUGUGCGUGUGUGUGUGUGUCUGUCUGUGUGUGUGUGUGUGUGUGUGUGUGUGUGUGUGUGUGUGUGUGUGUGUGUGUGAGUUCAAGACACAAGACAUAUUUAACCGGAUGUAGCUGCAAGACGGAGCCUCGUUGACUCUCCGUUUCAAUUUAUCUCAAAAGUGAGGACCUCAACCUAUAUACCAGUUUUUAAAUUGUGUUGAUAGGCCAAAUAAAACCAGAGUUAUGAUAAAUUAUGUCCACGAUACUUGUUUUCUGCUUAUUUUGAUCACGUUCGGCGCUCGAUCGCGCUGUAUGAGACAGGAAAACAUAGCAUGCAGACAUUAGCGACAGGUCUUACAGGCGGAAAAGGCUUGCCAAAGGAAAAAAAAAACACACCACAACAUCUCUCCUAUUGGUGGAAAACUUCACCACAACAACCAAUCCAAAAUUAUAUGGUGACUGAUUGACAAGGGGCGGGAACUUACGUUCUUCCUGCAAUAUGAGAAGGGAGGGAGGGACUCUCAGCAGGGAUGCAGUCUGGGACACGUAGUUGCAAACCUAGCGA
Molecule: non-coding RNA, 6210 nt
Organism: Xyrichtys novacula (pearly razorfish)
Lineage: Eukaryota; Metazoa; Chordata; Actinopteri; Labriformes; Labridae
Source: the annotation of a GenBank genome assembly